RNAcentral lists this ribosomal RNA (484 nucleotides) under uncultured bacterium. RNAcentral describes it as "partial 16S ribosomal RNA". It matches the Rfam family "Bacterial small subunit ribosomal RNA", at positions 30 to 507 of the family's 1533-position model. The record is from RNAcentral.
AUUGAACGCUGGCGGCAGGCCUAACACAUGCAGGUCGAGCGGAUGAAGGGAGCUUGCUCCUGGAUUCAGCGGCGGACGGGUGAGUAAUGCCUAGGAAUCUGCCUGGUAGUGGGGGAUAACGUCCGGAGACGGGCGCUAAUACCGCAUACGUCCUGAGGGAGAAAGCGGGGGAUCUUCGGACCUCACGCUAUCAGAUGAGCCUAGGUCGGAUUAGCUAGUUGGUGGGGUAAAGGCCUACCAAGGCGACGAUCCGUAACUGGUCUGAGAGGAUGAUCAGUCACACUGGAACUGAGACACGGUCCAGACUCCUACGGGAGGCAGCAGUGGGGAAUAUUGGACAAUGGGCGAAAGCCUGAUCCAGCCAUGCCGCGUGUGUGAAGAAGGUCUUCGGAUUGUAAAGCACUUUAAGUUGGGAGGAAGGGCAGUAAGUUAAUACCUUGCUGUUUUGACGUUACCAACAGAAUAAGCACCGGCUAACUUCGUG